This 492-nucleotide ribosomal RNA is filed under the name uncultured bacterium. RNAcentral describes it as "partial 16S ribosomal RNA". It matches the Rfam family "Bacterial small subunit ribosomal RNA", at positions 29 to 507 of the family's 1533-position model. The record is from RNAcentral.
AGUGAACGCUGGCGGUAGGCCUAACACAUGCAAGUCGAACGGCAGCACAGUAAGAGCUUGCUCUUACGGGUGGCGAGUGGCGGACGGGUGAGGAAUACAUCGGAAUCUACUUUUUCGUGGGGGAUAACGUGGGGAAACUUACGCUAAUACCGCAUACGACCUACGGGUGAAAGCAGGGGAUCUUCGGACCUUGCGCGAUUGAAUGAGCCGAUGUCGGAUUAGCUAGUUGGCGGGGUAAAGGCCCACCAAGGCGACGAUCCGUAGCUGGUCUGAGAGGAUGAUCAGCCACACUGGAACUGAGACACGGUCCAGACUCCUACGGGAGGCAGCAGUGGGGAAUAUUGGACAAUGGGCGCAAGCCUGAUCCAGCCAUACCGCGUGGAUGAAGAAGGCCUUCGGGUUGUAAAGCCCUUUUGUUGGGAAAGAAAAGCAGCAGGUUAAUACCCCGCUGUUCUGACGGUACCCAAAGAAUAAGCACCGGCUAACUUCGUG